RNAcentral lists this long non-coding RNA (4276 nucleotides) under Homo sapiens (human). Its description in RNAcentral is "HSALNT0044950". The record is from RNAcentral. Lineage: Eukaryota; Metazoa; Chordata; Mammalia; Primates; Hominidae.
CAAACCUUUUCUGAUCUUCUUUCCUAAUUGGAAUGGAAAAGAAUAUGUUGUCCAAAUCAAUGGCUAAAAACUAGGUACCUGAAGUUUUAUUAAUCUGCUUAGCACAGUAUCACAUCUGGCACAGUAACUAUAAUCAUCAGGUUUACUACUUGAUUAAGUCUGUAAUAGUACACAGUUAUUCUCCAGGACCCAGCUGGUUUCUGCACGGACCACAUUGGCACCAUCCACCCUCCCCAUGCAUUUUAAAUGCCUGCAUCAUCAUAUUUGCUACAGCAUUUUACUUCACCAGGAUAUUUUUCCAGGUCAUCAUGAGUGAAGUCUUGAGCCACUGAGCCACUACCACCUUGUGCCAAAUACUAUCUGUGCCCUGCCUGCCAACCAGGAUGACAACCCUUCACCUGCCAGGUGGAGAGAGACAGCAGCAGGCUAACUAGUUGUCUGUUAAGAACAUCCAGAGCAGGACCAGAAUCUGGGCCAGGAACUGAGAGACAGAUUGGGACAACGGAACAAAUCUACCAGGGUAUGCUGGCCAACUUAGUCUUCUAUUAUGAUCAAGGAAGGAUGGCGCCUGAGAGGUCAUUACUAUGUGACUGGUCUUCAUAUAUUGCUUCUAUGUUUGAUUCUUCCUCCAGAAAUGUUUCAAUAGCAAACUCAAUGAGUUUACGUAGCCAGAAUCUUAGUCAAUAACCUACUCUGCAGUAUCUUAGGGCUGACUUUGUACAUAUGGAAGUCAGCCAGAUCUCAUGAGUGGAUCAUUAAGCUAGAAUUAUUUUCUUGGCACACGUUACAGUAAGGUAAUAUAUGACCUAGGCCUAAGGCAGGCCAUCAACCUGUCAAGAGUAAUGACCCCCAGGGGUAAGGCCUUGCUGUCUCCACCUCAAGGAUGGGUCUUCAAAGUGGAGACAAUAUAGUCCCUAUGGUUUCUACAUGCUUAAUGAGUCUGUUAUGUGAAUUAUAAAGAUAAUAUCUAUGGGGACUUUGAGCUCCUACAAUAAAAAUGUAUAAAUAUAAUCCAAGAAAUUCUGGUAGACAAACAUUGUAAUAAUGCAUAUCAGUCUUUGUAUCUCCAUUUAGUUUUUUUAAAACUUGGCUUGUGUCCAGAAGUAUGCACAGAUAUACAUAGCAAAUGCUCAGUGCUGAAUGUUUAGCUAAAUCCUGUGCUUCAAAGCAAGGAUGAAUAGAUUUUCAUCAGAGCUCAGGACCUGAACUGUAGGCUUCCCUCACAAUGAGAAGUAAAGCUAAGUAUAGGUGAAUCCUGAGUGGCACAUAUUCUAUGAGAGUUUUAUACAUAAUUUGAAUGAUUGAUAUGCUGCAUCUUUCAUUGAAAUGAUUGUCAACCAAUAUUAUUUCAAGUGUUAUUUCCAUGCUAUUUCUAGUUCUGUAUGUUUUACGUAAUUAUAAAUGGCUUCAUAUUUUCAUGUAACAUUGUAUGAUAUGAUUUGGGUUCUAACAGGUUAUCCUUGACACCAGUAUAGAAUACCCAGAAUUAAUUUAAGGUAUAUUAUCAAACCACUAAAAUUAGGAUGUCCAUGAAUUCUGAAGGAGAAAAUAUCAUUUAGAUUGUGUGUGUGUGUGUGUGUGUGUGCGCGUGUGUGUGUGUCCUCUAAGUUUUAAACAUGAGGUGGUUAUAUAAAGGGGACUUCUAAAUUGGGAGAGGAUGAAAAUGGGCUAAAUAUUUCAAACAAACUUCAGUGUGAAAUCAGUAGUAUAUUCAGUAGAGGUGACAGGGAAAAAAGCUGUGGAGGAGAAAAGAGAACAAGAAAAUCAGGAAGCAGUAAAAAUGAUGACUGAGGUCAGGUGGUAAUGGUAACAUCAAGAAACUUGAAUCUGAUGGAAAAAAACCACGGGUAGCUAUAAAAGGGGCAUUCGAAAUAGGAAAUGAUGUGAGAGGAGAAGAUAAUUUUAGUAUAGUUAAAGGAGGUAGCAGCUAUAGGUGUGAAGAGAACGGAUUAAUUUUAAAUGUGUCCCAGAAGUAAGAGAAAUAUUUUUUUGAGGAGUGGGGGAGGAACAAUGAGAUAAACCUGGUUGAGUGUUUUAUGGUUAUCUCAAGUAAGAGUCCACUUGGAGUAUUAUGUCCAUUUUUGGACACCAUACUUUCAUAGGCAUGUUGAUGAACCAGGUCAUUCAAGACACCAGGGUAGUGAGAAGUGUGUUAAUAGUGCUUCUACCAGAGAGUUAGAGUGACAUGGCAGCUGUCCUCAUAUCUAUCGAUCUGUCAUAAGGAAGAAAGAUCACAUGCCUCUGCAUUGUUUAAAAGAAAGAAACAGACCCAAAGAAAGUCAGGAGGCAGAUUUUGCUCAAUAUAAUGAUCUAACAAUUAGAUGUGCCCUGUAACAGAGUGCGCUAUUGUAAAGUAAUGUUCUCCCAUCUUUCCAAGUAUUCAAGCAGAGAAUAGUCAAUAAUACAACUAACGACUGGAAGGGUUUCUUUUAUUCUAAGGUACUAUCAGAUGGAGGAACAUGUAGUUUGUGGUCAGUGACCUCAGGUUCUCACAUUCACGGUGCUGCAUCCUGGUUUUCAUUUGGGGACUGUUUUCUGGCACUCCCGCCUGUCUGGAGGUGAGAUAUGCUUGUUAUGACAACCCUUCUGUCACAAUAAAUUGGCUGGUGCAUUCAGUGUCAUCUAUGGCUUUUUACUUCUAUUAAUUCAUUAAUUCCGGGCCCCCAAGCGAAAGUUUCCAAAGGCCUUUUUUCUUCUUUGUUAAUUAUAACAUGAUAUCAAUCAGCACCCAAGCAGAAACUAGAAGAGUAUUCAAACUAGGUAAUUUGAGGAGAGUUUAAUAAAGCAACAGCUUACAAAGAUGUGGACAGUGGCUUAAGGAAGCCACUAAAGGAUGGCACAGUCCUCCAGGCUUGUGAUCAGGGGAGUCAUUACCAUCCCCCAGCCUGAAGAUCAAGAGGCUGGAGCUAUUUCCAGACCCUGAAGAGGGUGGUUGUAUGGAGAGGACUAUCUGAAAGAAGAGGCUGUAGCCAACACAAGAAAGCCAGGGAAUAAAUAAUCCAUCCUCACUCUCCUGCUGUUGCCUCUCAAUGGCCAAACCCAACCAUGAGCUGGGCAUGAAGGGAGCUAGCUGACAGCUAUAUGGCUCAGCUUCCUGGGGCCCAGAGCAGAGUGGAGCUGAGAAGAGAGUGAAUCUGGAGGGGUUAAUGGAAGAAACCACAGAAAGCAAAUUCCUCCCUGAGAUACAGUUGGUGCUUAGGCAAUAUUUGUACUGACAGGAAUGUGGCCACAUAUUUUGGAAAAGCUCAGGGACUCAAUCCUCUGCUAGCUGCUUUGAGGCCAUGUCUGCCGAAGUCACUGUCCUCUACAGGGUUUUUUCCUCAUGUUCAGUGUUUAGUCCUUUCCACCUUCACGAAAACGAUGCCUACUUAAUAUACAGAAAGGAGGACAUACAGAAAUUUUUCAUCUUAAUUGGAUAUUACAGUUGCCCCACUUUGGAGCCAAGAAGAGCUGAAUAAAGCUGAGAAACACCUAAACAGAAAGGCAAGUUUACCAUGAAGUAAGAAACGUAAGCUUUGGACCCCUUAAUUGCUUGAGCCUCCGUUAUUGUCUUCAGAAGGAGAGUAAAAAGAAUGCUGGGUAGAAGAAAUACCUGAAGAAAUAAUGGCCCAACCUCAAAUUUGGUGAAAGACAUAAACUUACAGAUUCAAGAAACUGAGUGUUCCCCAAACAGAAUAAACUUUAAAGAAUCCACACUCAAACACAUCAUAAUCAAACUUCUGAAAACUAACAACAAAGAAAAACUUAAAAUCAGCAAGAGAGAAACCACACAUUAUCAACUGAUGAAAAGUGACUCAAGUGACAGCAGAUUUAUAAUCAGAAACUUGAAGGACAGAAGGAAGAGGCAAAACAUUUUGAAAGCCCUAAAAGGAAAGAACUGUCAACCCAGAAUUCGACAUCCAGUAAAAAUAUCCGUCAAGAAUGAAUAUGAAGGAAAGCUAAGAAUGAAUAUAUCUUCUAUUUCUUUGCUAAAUUUUUCUACUUUUUCAUUUGAUGUAAGAGUGUUUAUAAGUGCUUAUGGAGCAUUUUUAUGAUAGUUGGUUUACAAUCCUUGUCUGAGAGUAGCUAUGUGAGAUGACGUAUAUAGUAAAUGGUGACUGUAGUAACCAUUUCACUACAUAUAAGUAUGUCAAAACAUGUUGUACACCUUAAAUAUACACAAAAAAUAGCUCUGACACAAAAAAUGCAUAGUUGUUAUUACCAUGUAUAAAUAAAAAUACUUGUAAGUUUAGAAAAUAAAAUCAUUGUCUGAUAAUUAUCUAAAUAAUAAAGUCCA